UGCACGUCCGCGGGCAGCUCCGGAGAGCUCCCUCCCUCGGCGGUCCCCGAGUUCAGUCCGGAGCCAGGCCCCGCCACCCGUGGGCCUCACGGUGUUCCUCCUCCUGGCUAUCUAUGCCUUCUCCGCUGCCACAGCUCUGGCCCAAGACUCCUCCUGGGUGAUUCUCCUUCUCUUGGCUUCUGGAGUUUCAGCUCCCUCAAGAUGGCAAAGUGGCUGCAGUGGCUCCACCUUCACUCAGAGGAUUUCCAGGACAGUCAGCUGCAGUUCUAGGUUUUGCAGUGAUUCAGGCCAUUUUCUGUGCCGGUUCCUGGUACAAGAAGAUGUUAUGCUGAAAUUGACCCCAUCCUGAUUUAUGGGUCCCAUCUUUGAGGUGAGGAGGCAGUGUCGAGAUCAGUCUGAGUGAGUCAGGCAUUAGCCCUGAGCUGGAGGCGUCAGGUCCUCCCAGCCAGCGUGUCACCCAUGAUGUCAUGGGGGAGGCCAAGCCACCACAGUGCCCACUGCCGCCCAGAUGCAGCCCAGCAGGGAGGGCAGUGCCACAGUCUCUCUGGAGUCCUCACCUCAGCCCACUGGGGUUCUGUCUAAAGCUUGGGUUUUAACUAAUUUAGCACAGAAAUUUUUAAAAAUUUUAUUUUAUUUAAAGAAAGAAAAUUUAAAAAAACAAAAUAGAA
This 668-nucleotide long non-coding RNA is filed under the name Cavia porcellus (domestic guinea pig). Its description in RNAcentral is "lncRNA (ENSCPOG00000034258.1)". The record is from RNAcentral. Lineage: Eukaryota; Metazoa; Chordata; Mammalia; Rodentia; Caviidae.